GCCUGAUGUCAUGAAUUUGGAACACUCGAGUCUUAAGCUUUCCAAAGGCUGCAGCAGCUUGCCUGAUUCUGUGAUUGACUUCUGCAUCAAUGUUAGCAUUUGAAGACAUUAUACUACCAUGGGACACGCCCACGGGCGGGCACAUCCAGGAGCGCGCCAUGCGCGUCUCCGCCCCGCAGCAGCCGCCAGCUGCAAACGAUCACCGGCAUUCUGCACACCUGCACUUAAUGAAGGACCUGCCUUCAUAAGCUCGCAGAACCUGCCAGGCGGCGCCGGAGUAUAGUCUUCCGUACCUGUCGCUUCCCGUGUUCCCCUGUGAUCCCUUGUUGUUCCCCUUGCUCCCCCGGACUGCCUUUUGGAUUCUUGACCUCCCGCUUGGACACGUUCUUCUCUGACGCUUCUCUCUCGCCCCUGAUCACCUGCCUGCCCCAUGGACUUCCUCAUCUCUCGUUCAACACUUUGGUAACACACACUUCAGCUAACUACACACAUAGCCUUACACCACAUACACUUUUGGAUCUAGUUCAC
Molecule: long non-coding RNA, 528 nt
Organism: Entelurus aequoreus (snake pipefish)
Lineage: Eukaryota; Metazoa; Chordata; Actinopteri; Syngnathiformes; Syngnathidae
Exons: 3
Source: RefSeq, a predicted model, not a curated record